This 30-nucleotide small RNA is filed under the name Bombyx mori (domestic silkworm). Its description in RNAcentral is "ovarian small RNA-35985". Lineage: Eukaryota; Metazoa; Arthropoda; Insecta; Lepidoptera; Bombycidae. The record is from RNAcentral.
UGUUAAAUGCUCAUUGGCUACGGCCACACU